Long non-coding RNA from Xenopus laevis (African clawed frog), 1324 nucleotides. RefSeq lists it as uncharacterized. Lineage: Eukaryota; Metazoa; Chordata; Amphibia; Anura; Pipidae. The transcript has 3 exons. The record is from RefSeq and is a predicted model, not a curated record.
CCAGGUCCCAAGUAUUCCAGAUAACAGGUCCCAUACCUGUAUUUAUACAGUAUGUCAGAGUUUACACUGAAUGCCACAUAAAGGGUUAAAUGGGACUGUUGUCAUUAAUACAUUUAAUACAUGUUCCUUGCUAGUGUAGUCAUUUAACAGGUAAACGGAAAAUGCCUCUACUAGUCUUUCAACUAAGCAUUUAGGAGCAAAUUCUGCACUGGAUCCCCCUGAUUAAGCACUGGUGUUUCUAACCUUCUUUCAAGUAAACAUUCCAAUGAGAAAUUUACAAAACAAGUAUGCCUUACUGACCAACCCUAAUUCUGAACAUUUUGGGAGGGGGUUACAAUUCCAUAAUAAACUUGCACCACAGUUGUGUGCACUACCCACAGGUCCCUGAUUAGCCCACCUGCGCUCAGCCACACACGUAUACCUGAUACAGCUACUCUGUUCAGACUGAAGGAUUUUUUUAAAAAAUUUUCUGAUUGAUUGUGGACUUGCUUGUAAAGGAGACAGCAGAAUAAGCACAUCUUGAGACUGUUUUCCAGCAUCCUUAAACCCUCAGCGUGUGCAUUUCCCACUUGUUUGGAUUGAAUGGACUAGACUUGUGCACAUAAGGUUGAAAACAGAACCGCGGAUUUUCAGCUGGACUGAGAUCAGGACUAAGACUAGGCCAUUGCAAAACAUUCAGAACUUUGUUCUUGGUACCACCGGCACACAUAAAGUUUGUUCACUGCUAAAGAAUAUCCCAAGUGAAUAUAUUCCAUGAAAUUGGUGGACUUACCUCAGUGAAAGAAUUGUUUUCAGACCACUCUAGAAUAUGAUUUCAUAUUCAGUAAAUGCUUGGCUAGAAAUGCCUUAUGUUUAUGCCUUUUGUACCAGUACAGCCCAAGGUCAUCACAAUCCUUUAGCUGUACAGAUAUGUGCCUAGGAACCUGCUCCCCCAUCUUCUUUUCUCUUGAUUCACAGCAUGUGGUCUGGGCCACUGUCAGGUUUCAUAAUCUUACAGAUCAAUGCACAAUACACAGUUUAUUCACAUAACUAUUCUAAGACAAGGUAUGUUAGUAAAAAAAAUUCUGAUUCUUAAUUCUUAAUCCCUGAAGCAUUACCUCCUAUGAAAGACGAAACCUCAGUUUUUGCUAGUUUUGAUAAUUCCGCAUCAACGUUUUGCCUCUCAACAGCAGCCCAGAACAUACUGAGCAUGUGCAGUGCCACUGACCAGGGCCAGAACUAGGGGUAGGCAGAAGAGGCACCUGGGGGGGGUGCUGGGCAGGUACUUGUUAAAGGGUCUUCUAUCUACUCCUAGUCCAGGUUCACUCCCCUCUGUGGCUCUCCC